Molecule: non-coding RNA, 108 nt
Organism: Tirmania nivea
Lineage: Eukaryota; Fungi; Ascomycota; Pezizomycetes; Pezizales; Pezizaceae
Source: the annotation of a GenBank genome assembly
GUCAAGGUGGUGGAGUGGUUAACACGUUCGCCUGCUAUUACUUCGGUACACCCCGGUAAAGUCAGCGGAUGCCUUCUGGGCGCGCAGGUUCGAAUCCUGUCCUUGACG